UACCAAGGCGACGACGGGUAGCCGGCCUGAGAGGGCGACCGGCCACACUGGGACUGAGACACGGCCCAGACUCCUACGGGAGGCAGCAGUGGGGAAUAUUGCACAAUGGGCGGAAGCCUGAUGCAGCGACGCCGCGUGAGGGAUGACGGCCUUCGGGUUGUAAACCUCUUUCAGCAGGGACGAAGCGAGAGUGACGGUACCUGCAGAAGAAGCACCGGCCAACUACGUGCCAGCAGCCGCGGUAAGACGUAGGGUGCGAGCGUUGUCCGGAUUUAUUGGGCGUAAAGAGCUCGUAGGCGGCUUGUCGCGUCGACCGUGAAAACUUGGGGCUCAACCCCAAGCCUGCGGUCGAUACGGGCAGGCUAGAGUUCGGUAGGGGAGACUGGAAUUCCUGGUGUAGCGGUGAAAUGCGCAGAUAUCAGGAGGAACACCGGUGGCGAAGGCGGGUCUCUGGGCCGAUACUGACGCUGAGGAGCGAAAGCGUGGGGAGCGAACAGGAUUAGAUACCCUGGUAGUCCACGCUGUAAACGUUGGGCGCUAGGUGUGGGGGACCU
This 554-nucleotide ribosomal RNA is filed under the name Micromonospora sp. RNAcentral's name for it is "bacterial SSU rRNA". It matches the Rfam family "Bacterial small subunit ribosomal RNA", at positions 266 to 832 of the family's 1533-position model. Lineage: Bacteria; Bacillati; Actinomycetota; Actinomycetes; Micromonosporales; Micromonosporaceae. The record is from RNAcentral.